UACGUAGGGUGCAAGCGUUGUCCGGAUUUAUUGGGCGUAAAGCGCGUGUAGGCGGCCAGGUAGGUCCGUUGUGAAAACUCGAGGCUCAACCUCGAGACGGCGACGGAAACCAUCUGGCUAGAGUCCGGAAGAGGAGAGUGGAAUUCCUGGUGUAGCGGUGAAAUGCGCAGAUAUCAGGAAGAACACCCGUGGCGAAGGCGGCUCUCUGGGGCGGUACUGACGCUGAGACGCGAAAGCGUGGGGAGCGAACAGG
Molecule: ribosomal RNA, 253 nt
Filed under: uncultured bacterium
Lineage: Bacteria
Description: partial 16S ribosomal RNA
Rfam family: Bacterial small subunit ribosomal RNA
Source: RNAcentral